This 465-nucleotide ribosomal RNA is filed under the name uncultured bacterium. RNAcentral describes it as "partial 16S ribosomal RNA". It matches the Rfam family "Bacterial small subunit ribosomal RNA", at positions 355 to 835 of the family's 1533-position model. The record is from RNAcentral.
UGGGGAAUAUUGGACAAUGGGGGCAACCCUGAUCCAGCAAUGCCGCGUGUGUGAAGAAGGUCUUCGGAUUGUAAAGCACUUUCGACGGGGACGAUGAUGACGGUACCCGUAGAAGAAGCCCCGGCUAACUUCGUGCCAGCAGCCGCGGUAAUACGAAGGGGGCUAGCGUUGCUCGGAAUGACUGGGCGUAAAGGGCGUGUAGGCGGUUUACACAGUCAGAUGUGAAAUCCCCGGGCUUAACCUGGGAGCUGCAUUUGAUACGUGUAGACUAGAGUGUGAGAGAGGGUUGUGGAAUUCCCAGUGUAGAGGUGAAAUUCGUAGAUAUUGGGAAGAACACCGGUGGCGAAGGCGGCAACCUGGCUCAUGAUUGACGCUGAGGCGCGAAAGCGUGGGGAGCAAAGCAGGAUUAGAUACCCUGGUAGUCCCACGCUGUAAACGAUGUGUGCUAGAUGUUGGGUAACUUUG